RNAcentral lists this ribosomal RNA (769 nucleotides) under uncultured bacterium. Its description in RNAcentral is "bacterial SSU rRNA". It matches the Rfam family "Bacterial small subunit ribosomal RNA", at positions 672 to 1438 of the family's 1533-position model. The record is from RNAcentral.
GGUGUAGCGGUGGAAUGCGCAGAUAUCAGGAGGAACACCGAUGGCGAAGGCAGGUCUNUGGGCUGUAACUGACGCUGAGAAGCGAAAGCAUGGGGAGCGAACAGGAUUAGAUACCCUGGUGGUCCAUGCCGUAAACGUUGGGCACUAGGUGUGGGGGACAUUCCACGUUNUCCGCGCCGUAGCUAACGCAUUAAGUGCCCCGCCUGGGGAGUACGGCCGCAAGGCUAAAACUCAAAGAAAUUGACGGGGGCCCGCACAAGCGGCGGAGCAUGCGGAUUAAUUCGAUGCAACGCGAAGAACCUUACCAAGGCUUGACAUAUACUGGACUGCGUCAGAGAUGGCGUUUCCCUUCGGGGCUGGUAUACAGGUGGUGCAUGGUUGUCGUCAGCUCGUGUCGUGAGAUGUUGGGUUGAGUCCCGCAACGAGCGCAACCCUCGUUCUAUGUUGCCAGCACGUGAUGGUGGGGACUCAUAGGAGACUGCCGGGGUCAACUCGGAGGAAGGUGGGGAUGACGUCAAAUCAUCAUGCCCCUUAUGUCUUGGGCUUCACGCAUGCUACAAUGGCCGGUACAGAGGGUUGCGAUACUGUGAGGUGGAGCUAAUCCCUAAAAGCCGGUCUCAGUUCGGAUUGGGGUCUGCAACUCGACCCCAUGAAGUCGGAGUCGCUAGUAAUCGCAGAUCAGCAACGCUGCGGUGAAUACGUUCCCGGGCCUUGUACACACCGCCCGUCAAGUCACGAAAGUUGGUAACACCCGAAGCCGGUGGCCUAA